AGCGAACGCUGGCGGCAGGCUUAACACAUGCAAGUCGAGCGCCCGGAGCAAUCCGGGAGCGGCAGACGGGAGAGUAACACGUGGGAACGUACCCUUUGGUUCGGAAUAAUCCAGGGAAACUUGGACUAAUACCGGAUAAGCCCUUACGGGGAAAGGAUUUAUCGCCAGAGGAUCGGCCCGCGUCUGAUUAGCUUGUUGGUGAGGUAACGGCUCACCAAGGCGACGAUCAGUAGCUGGUCUGAGAGGAUGAUCAGCCUCACUGGGACUGAGACACGG
RNAcentral lists this ribosomal RNA (276 nucleotides) under uncultured bacterium. RNAcentral's name for it is "partial 16S ribosomal RNA". It matches the Rfam family "Bacterial small subunit ribosomal RNA", at positions 29 to 329 of the family's 1533-position model. The record is from RNAcentral.